Phacochoerus africanus (Common warthog) is the source of this 134-nucleotide small nucleolar RNA. RefSeq annotates it as small nucleolar RNA SNORA11. The transcript has a single exon. The record is from RefSeq and is a predicted model, not a curated record. NCBI's taxonomy places the organism in Eukaryota, Metazoa, Chordata, Mammalia, Artiodactyla, Suidae.
UGGGUGUGGCCCUAAAAAGCCAAAAAAAAAAAAAAAAAUCACCUGGACCCUACAACAUAUCCAUGAGGAAUCUGCAUUUAUUGUGAAAAGGGGCCAAGACUCAUGACCUUCCUAUGAAUAGAUACCCAACAUGU